GAUAUCCGCACAUUAUUAUUG
This 21-nucleotide microRNA is filed under the name Prunus persica (peach). RNAcentral describes it as "ppe-miR8129-5p". The record is from miRBase by way of RNAcentral. Lineage: Eukaryota; Viridiplantae; Streptophyta; Magnoliopsida; Rosales; Rosaceae.